AAGCAGCUUAGUUCGGAUUGUAGGCUGCAACUCGCCUACAUGAAGUCGGAAUUGCUAGUAAUCGCGGAUCAGCAUGCCGCGGUGAAUACGUUCCCGGGCCUUGUACACACCGCCCGUCACACCAUGGGAGUUGGAAAUACCCGAAGCCUGUGAGCUAACAGUAAUGAGGCAGCAGUCGAAGGUAGAGCCAAUGAUUGGGGUGAAGUCGUAACAAGGUACC
RNAcentral lists this ribosomal RNA (220 nucleotides) under uncultured bacterium. RNAcentral's name for it is "partial 16S ribosomal RNA". It matches the Rfam family "Bacterial small subunit ribosomal RNA", at positions 1281 to 1500 of the family's 1533-position model. The record is from RNAcentral.